Molecule: ribosomal RNA, 750 nt
Filed under: Triticum aestivum (bread wheat)
Lineage: Eukaryota; Viridiplantae; Streptophyta; Magnoliopsida; Poales; Poaceae
Description: partial small subunit ribosomal RNA
Source: RNAcentral
UUACCCCAUCCGUCAUUAGAUGCCUCCGGUGUUACCCAUGACAACGAGGGAUCUAAGAGGAUACAGAGAAACUCUCGUAGCCGAGCAUGUUAUCACAAGAAAAAUGAGGAACUAACGGUUGAUGAUAGAGAUGAUUUGAAUGAAAAGAUACGAGGGAAGCGCGUGCAGCGCCGCAAAAGCAGGUCGGAUAUUGAGAAGGGGCAGUCAAGUGCUCAAAGGAAGGCCUGUUAUGCUAAAAGGAAGAAUACCCCGUGCAAAGAAUCUCUCGCACUCCCUCGCCCAGACAUUACUAACUCAACAGCUGAUAGUCUCGCGAUCCCCCUCUCUCGGGCUGCCGACGAUGAUUCAUCGGAUGGCGACCCUCCCCCGGGCAUGCCGAAUUACGGUGUUUGCACCCCUGACCACAUCAAUGUGUUCCCAGAGCCCAUCAUGGGCGAUGAGCCGACACCAGCCGAAAUGAUGGAUGAGGAGUACUACUUGUAUCGUGACCAAGGAUCCGAUAAUGAUGCAUUCGAGGAUGACGAGGAAGCUAGCAUGACGUCUUUUAUAUCUGGCGAGGUUGAUCCAUUAGACUGUGUGUACACAAACAUACCAGACCACACCCACAUCCUGAAGCUCGACACAAACUGCAAACACUGCAAGGCCAGAAAGUUUGUUUCUGAGACUGACGGAUUCUGUUGUCGCAAUGGACAGAUCGAGCUAAAACAACCGGAACCAAUCCCAGAGCUUAUGAGGCUAUGGUCCACCAUG